Molecule: small nucleolar RNA, 125 nt
Organism: Physeter macrocephalus (sperm whale)
Lineage: Eukaryota; Metazoa; Chordata; Mammalia; Artiodactyla; Physeteridae
Gene: SNORA70
Rfam family: Small nucleolar RNA SNORA70
About the family: snoRNA U70 seems to be exclusive to mammals and is a member of the H/ACA class of snoRNA which contain H (ANANNA) and ACA box motifs. H/ACA box snoRNAs are involved in the conversion of uridines to pseudouridines (5-ribosyluracil) a constituent of structural RNAs (transfer, ribosomal, small nuclear, and small nucleolar).
Source: Ensembl
AUGGAGUAAAUAUGGCAAAGCAGGAAAGUGAUUAAAAGUUGUCUUCCCAGUGUGCAAUGGCUGCAAACAGCAGCCUCCUCAAUAGUGUAUGCAGCCUGUUGCCCCAAGGGACCUUGGAAACAGCC